UACGUAGGGUGCAAGCGUUGCCCGGAUUUAUUGGGCGUAAAGGGCGCGUAGGCGGUCACGCACGUCCGUUGUGAAAUCGCUACGGCUCAACUGGGCGGGGUCAGCGGAUACGGUGUGGCUGGAGCAAGCUAGGGGGCAAUGGAAUUCCCCGGUGUAGUGGUGGAAUGCGUAGAGAUCGGAAAGAACACCAACGGCGAAAGCACUCUGCUGGGCCGACACUGACACUGAGAGACGAAAGCUAGGGGAGCGAAUGGG
Molecule: ribosomal RNA, 255 nt
Filed under: uncultured bacterium
Lineage: Bacteria
Description: partial 16S ribosomal RNA
Rfam family: Bacterial small subunit ribosomal RNA
Source: RNAcentral